CAAGCGAGUGGCGAACGGGUGAGUAACACGUGGAUAACCUGCCUCAAGGCUGGGGAUAACAUUUGGAAACAGAUGCUAAUACCGAAUAAAACUUAGUAUCGCAUGAUAUCAAGUUAAAAGGCGCUACGGCGUCACCUGGAGAUGGAUCCGCGGUGCAUUAGUUAGUUGGUGGGGUAAAGGCUUACCAAGACAAUGAUGCAUAGCCGAGUUGAGAGACUGAUCGGCCACAUUGGGACUGAGACACGGCCCAAACUCCUACGGGAGGCUGCAGUAGGGAAUCUUCCACAAUGGGCGCAAGCCUGAUGGAGCAACGCCGCGUGUGUGAUGAAGGCUUUCGGGUCGUAAAGCACUGUUGUAUGGGAAGAAAUGCUAAAAUAGGGAAUGAUUUUAGUUUGACGGUACCAUACCAGAAAGGGACGGCUAAAUACGUGCCAGCAGCCGCGGUAAUACGUAUGUCCCGAGCGUUAUCCGGAUUUAUUGGGCGUAAAGCGAGCGCAGACGGUUGAUUAAGUCUGAUGUGAAAGCCCGGAGCUCAACUCCGGAAUGGCAUUGGAAACUGGUUAACUUGAGUGUUGUAGAGGUAAGUGGAACUCCAUGUGUAGCGGUGGAAUGCGUAGAUAUAUGGAAGAACACCAGUGGCGAAGGCGGCUUACUGGACAACAACUGACGUUGAGGCUCGAAAGUGUGGGUAGCAAACAGGAUUAGAUACCCUGGUAGUCCACACCGUAAACGAUGAAUACUAGGUGUUAGGAGGUUUCCGCCUCUUAGUGCCGAAGCUAACGCAUUAAGUAUUCCGCCUGGGGAGUACGACCGCAAGGUUGAAACUCAAAGGAAUUGACGGGGACCCGCACAAGCGGUGGAGCAUGUGGUUUAAUUCGAAGCAACGCGAAGAACCUUACCAGGUCUUGACAUCCUUUGAAGCUUUUAGAGAUAGAAGUGUUCUCUUCGGAGACAAAGUGACAGGUGGUGCAUGGUCGUCGUCAGCUCGUGUCGUGAGAUGUUGGGUUAAGUCCCGCAACGAGCGCAACCCUUAUUGUUAGUUGCCAGCAUUCAGUUGGGCACUCUAGCGAGACUGCCGGUGACAAACCGGAGGAAGGCGGGGACGACGUCAGAUCAUCAUGCCCCUUAUGACCUGGGCUACACACGUGCUACAAUGGCGUAUACAACGAGUUGCCAACCUGCGAAGGUGAGCUAAUCUCUUAAAGUACGUCUCAGUUCGGACUGCAGUCUGCAACUCGACUGCACGAAGUCGGAAUCGCUAGUAAUCGCGGAUCAGCACGCCGCGGUGAAUACGUUCCCGGGUCUUGUACACACCGCCCGUCACACCAUGGGAGUUUGU
This 1339-nucleotide ribosomal RNA is filed under the name Leuconostoc citreum. RNAcentral describes it as "bacterial SSU rRNA". It matches the Rfam family "Bacterial small subunit ribosomal RNA", at positions 88 to 1415 of the family's 1533-position model. Lineage: Bacteria; Bacillati; Bacillota; Bacilli; Lactobacillales; Lactobacillaceae. The record is from RNAcentral.